This is a long non-coding RNA of Nicotiana tabacum (common tobacco), 2405 nucleotides long. RefSeq lists it as uncharacterized. The record is from RefSeq and is a predicted model, not a curated record. Lineage: Eukaryota; Viridiplantae; Streptophyta; Magnoliopsida; Solanales; Solanaceae.
CCAUCAAAUUUUGGGGAGCACACAUUGAAGAUACUUUUCUUUUUCUCCAAGCACGGGAAAAAACACUGAUCGGCAUAUAUAUUUAGAGUAGGUGAACCCUAAGGGACCGGGCUUCUGGACUCCUUUCCAACGCGGUAGCCGCCUCUAGUCAUCUACUCCACCCUAGAGCAGCCUCUGUUGCCGGCAACCCCAGAACCGCCGCCAGACCGCCGUCCACCACGAGGCUGCCGUUUCCGGCGAGCUUCACUCUCACACACGACCACAACUCCACCCACAAACGAGCUCACAGCCGCGACACCAUCCAAAACUAACGCCCUCACUCACCUCUUCUUCUUCACCAAAAGGCUGGAUCGGCUGAACCUCUUAAACACCCCAAGAUCCGCCGAACGUCUUCUUUUCUUGUUACGUGAAAACCAGAAUUCCUUUACCCACGCAUAGACUUAGCAGAACAAGGAGAUAACGAGGCAGUCCUGUCAGUUUCAGCGAGGUUCCCAAUCGAUAACGGUCUUCUAUUUGAGUUCCUGUCGGAGGUUCGAGUUUCAUUUCCAGUUGUGGUUCAAACCCGGGAUUUCCUUUUAGUCAAAAUUUCAGAAUAAUUUUGGUUCAUCUAAGGUAUGGAUCCACUCACCAAUGCUAGAGUAUCAAUGGCGGUCAAAGUCCCUAGAAGGCUAGUAAAAUGGUGGAACAUGUUCACAUUACUUGAGCAACAUGAUUUGAUGGGAAAAUUAGGGACUCUUAUUUAUUUGAUGGAUAUCACUCCCCGUCCCGACCUUGUAGAAGCAAUAUUGACAUUUUGGGACCUGCAGGGAAUGGUAUUCAAGUUUGGGGAUCUUGAGAUGACACCCACCUUAGCUGAGAUAGACGGGUUAACCCGCCUGCCAUACCUAGACAAGGAUUUGAUUUACACAAGGGCUCAUUGAAGUACCAAGUUCCUUAAGAUCAUAGGGAUGGAUUUUGAAGAUCACAUGGGGUGUCUAGAUCAAUCUUGGGUACCUUUGGACUUUUAUUCGAGAGGUUUGCUCGUCCUACUGGGUAUGAGACCUUCGUAGAUGAAUUUUCCAUAUCAUAUGAUUCUUGGAAGAAGAGGCGCCCUAUGGUCUUCACUAUUGCAUUGUUGGGUCUCCUGGUAUUUCCUUUGGAAGGUAGACAUAUUAGUACACGUCUAGGGUCAAUAGCCUUUGCACUCUUCCAUGAUAAACAUAGUAGUAAGGUCACCUUGGUUCCGACAAUUUUGGCAGAGAUCUAUCGUGCUUUGACCAGGAUUUGAGAAGGUGGGAGGUUCUUUGAGGGAAGCAACUUGUUGCUACAUCUGUGGAUGAUGGAACACUUACAUCCCGCCACCAUGUUUGAGAAAGAUGUGAUUGACUGCUGUCUGAGAGAUCGAGUGAAGUGCAUCGAGCAUAGGAUGACAUUCGAUAGGUUUGCCUUACCACCCGGAGUUCAGGAUUGGGUUGAUUAUUUAGGAUCCUUGACUGAAGAGAAGAUUUUGUGGUCAUACCUAUGGAUUGAUUUGGACGUGAUCUUAGCAGGAUCUUGCGUGCAAGACUUCUUGGUACUGAUUGGACUUUGGUGUACUAGACCAUAUACCCCUGUUAGAGUGAUGCGUCAGUUAGGGAGGCGGCAAGAAGUCCCCUACAUUCCUGAUUCUCGUGACUUCAUCAGGGAAUUUGACACUAUGCCACACAGGGAGGUCAACAUCCAGACCUAUUGGCGUCAUGAAAUGAAGAUGGGUAGGGAUACUUUAGCAGUUGACCCACAUUCACCUGGGUAUACCCAUGAGUACUUCAUAUGGCUACAGUCUACUCAGCGAGGAUUUAGCAGGCCGUUGCCCUGACAUGUUAGAGCAGUAUUUAACGAGGAGGCUACCUCACGGAUAUUGCUUAGACAGUUGAUAGAUCGAUUUACCCAGGAAGAGGAGGCCUAUGCAACAGAAAGGGUUGGGGUCCGAGCUACACUCCAUUCACUGAGAUCACAGUUGGUAGGGUUGGUAGAGAACAUGGGACAGCACCGUGAGUACCUUACUAGAGUCAGCCUUUCAGAUGCAGGCGCGCAUUCCAGGAUUCUCAUUCUCAGCUUCGAGGUGUCCUUGCAGGGUAUAAUACAGAGCUUAGAUUCGACAGGAUUGACGGGGCCAUCCGGAUCUUCAUUGGACCCAUCCCAGCCAGGACCGUCGCAUUCAGGAGCAGUUUGAGGAGUCAUUCUAUUUAGAUGUUUUGAGAUUGUCUUAUGCUGUCUUUUACUUUCGCGUCUUUUCUAGGAGUACUGAGUCCUUUAGGUAGUGUCAGAGUCUAUCAUAGUGUAGUCGAGUCUGUCAUGUCUUUCAUUAUCGUAUUUCCCUUUGUAUUUUAAUAUUGAAAAGUUUUAAACGAAAAAUCCCAAAAAGAUUUUGUUUUCAGUUUAUUUUC